RNAcentral lists this ribosomal RNA (445 nucleotides) under uncultured bacterium. Its description in RNAcentral is "partial 16S ribosomal RNA". It matches the Rfam family "Bacterial small subunit ribosomal RNA", at positions 354 to 796 of the family's 1533-position model. The record is from RNAcentral.
GUGAGGAAUAUUGGACAAUGGGCGCAAGCCUGAUCCAGCCAUGCCGCGUGCAGGAAGACGCAUCUAUGGUGUGUAAACUGCUUUUGUACGGGAAGAAGCACUCCCUCGUGAGGGAGCUUGACGGUACCGUAAGAAUAAGGAUCGGCUAACUCCGUGCCAGCAGCCGCGGUAAUACGGAGGAUCCAAGCGUUAUCCGGAAUCCUUGGGUUUAAAGGGUCCGUAGGCGGUUUAAUAAGUCAGUGGUGAAAUCCCAUCGCUCAACGAUGGAACGGAAAUUGAUACUGUUAGACGUGAAGUACAAGGAAGUAUCUAGAAUAUGUAGUGUAGCGGUGAAAUGCUUAGAUAUUACAUGGAAUACCAAUUGCGAAGGCAGGUUACUACUUGUGGAUUGACGCUGAUGGACGAAAGCGUGGGGAGCGAACAGGAUUAGAUACCCGUGUAGUCC